GGGAGAACCCCAUUCCUCCCUAAGACU
Molecule: transfer RNA, 27 nt
Filed under: Delphinus capensis (long-beaked common dolphin)
Lineage: Eukaryota; Metazoa; Chordata; Mammalia; Artiodactyla; Delphinidae
Description: partial tRNA-Thr
Source: RNAcentral